GCCCGCCUAGCUCAAUCGGCUAGAGCGUCAGACUUUUAAUCUGAAGGCUGCGGGUUCGACCCCCGCGGUGGGCU
Molecule: transfer RNA, 74 nt
Filed under: Schizophyllum commune H4-8
Lineage: Eukaryota; Fungi; Basidiomycota; Agaricomycetes; Agaricales; Schizophyllaceae
Description: tRNA-Lys (TTT) (tRNA-Lys-TTT-2-1)
Rfam family: tRNA
About the family: Transfer RNA (tRNA) molecules are approximately 80 nucleotides in length. Their secondary structure includes four short double-helical elements and three loops (D, anti-codon, and T loops).
Source: RNAcentral